UACGUAGGUGGCAAGCGUUGUCCGGAUUUACUGGGCGUAAAGAGCGCGCAGGCGGUCGAAUAAGUCGAAUGUGAAAGCCCCCGGCUCAACUGGGGAGGGUCACGCGAUACUGAUCGACUCGAAGGCAGGAGAGGGUAGUGGAAUUCCCGGUGUAGUGGUGAAAUGCGUAGAUAUGCGGAGGAACACCGAUGGCGAAGGCAAUCCCCUGGACCUGUACUGACGCUCAUGCACGAAAGCGUGGGGAGCAAACAGG
This 253-nucleotide ribosomal RNA is filed under the name uncultured bacterium. RNAcentral's name for it is "partial 16S ribosomal RNA". It matches the Rfam family "Bacterial small subunit ribosomal RNA", at positions 524 to 776 of the family's 1533-position model. The record is from RNAcentral.